AACGAACGCUGGCGGCAUGCCUAACACAUGCAAGUCGAACGAGACCUUCGGGUCUAGUGGCGCACGGGUGCGUAACGCGUGGGAAUCUGCCCUUCGGUUGGGAAUAACUGAGAGAAAUUUCAGCUAAUACCUUAUAAUGUCUUCGGACCAAAGAUUUAUCGCCGAGGGAUGAGCCCGCGUAGGAUUAGGUAGUUGGUGGGGUAAUGGCCUACCAAGCCGACGAUCCUUAGCUGGUCUGAGAGGAUGAUCAGCCACACUGGGACUGAGACACGGCCCAGACUCCUACGGGAGGAAGCAGUGGGGAAUAUUGGAAAAUGGGCGAAAGCCUGAUCCAGCAAUGCCGCGUGAGUGAUGAAGGCCUUAGGGUUGUAAAGCUCUUUUACCCGGGAUGAUAAUGACAGUACCGGGAGAAUAAGCUCCGGCUAACUCCGUG
RNAcentral lists this ribosomal RNA (433 nucleotides) under uncultured bacterium. RNAcentral's name for it is "partial 16S ribosomal RNA". It matches the Rfam family "Bacterial small subunit ribosomal RNA", at positions 29 to 507 of the family's 1533-position model. The record is from RNAcentral.